AUCAUUAGCGUGUGUUUUGAAAAUCUUUUAUUCAAAAGUAUACAUAACAAUUUUAGAUUAUCUUGAUCACAGUGAAAUAAGGAUCAAAUCUCCAGAGAUUCUUGAAUCUGAUGACUCACGAGGCCAGAAAGCACAGGGCCUCAACUUCAUGCGCACACCAAGCUCUAUAGGGAUAAGGGAUGAUCUUCUUUGCUUCACACCUUCAAAAGAGGC
Molecule: long non-coding RNA, 213 nt
Filed under: Elaeis guineensis (African oil palm)
Lineage: Eukaryota; Viridiplantae; Streptophyta; Magnoliopsida; Arecales; Arecaceae
Description: long non-coding RNA (EGUI_LNC053789)
Source: RNAcentral